Molecule: long non-coding RNA, 1091 nt
Organism: Rhinopithecus roxellana (golden snub-nosed monkey)
Lineage: Eukaryota; Metazoa; Chordata; Mammalia; Primates; Cercopithecidae
Exons: 3
Source: RefSeq, a predicted model, not a curated record
AUUGCCUGGGAAACUAAGUCACGUGAGAACCUGAGGUCUCUAGGUGCCAGAACCUGACCUGAGCUGGGGCCUGUGCUUCCAGUGGGUGGUGGGGAGCCUGGUGUGCUGGCAUCAGGUAAGCGGACUGCCUCGGCAAAGGCUUAAGGACAAGAGACCGGCAGCCUGAACUGGCUGGGGCAUCCGGAAAGCUUAGAUCUUGUGGCCAAGAGGUCAGACCUGGCGAAGUGGAGAGUGACAUGCAGUUGGAUGGUGGUGACUGCGUGGUCCCACAACCCAGGUUCCAGUCUGGCAAGCAUUCUAGACCUGGCUGCUGAAGACUGACGGGGUCCAGGGUCUGCUGCCCCCACCGCCUUCACCACCUCAGAACCCAGGGUAACGCUGUCAGUCUCUGUUCACAGGUUUCGUGACAGGGCUGCAGAGCUUUGACGUCGUCGCUUACUCCUGGUGGCAAGGAUCAUCCCUUCCAAGAUGGGUACCCUGGGUUGCCCCCUUCCUAGAACCCCUGAUCUUCCUCUUCCUGUUACUAAUGAUUGGGUCAUGCAUAUUUAACCUUGUAUCCCGCUUCAUUUCCCAAAGACUGAAUUCUUUUAUUCAGGCAAGCAUGCAAAAACACAUUGAUAAUAUCCUUCACCUUUGCUACAUCUAAUACCAGAGCCUACAAGGAAGCCAUUCGGAAGCUCCAGAACCCAGGCCCUAAUCACGGUGCCCCUAUCCAGCAGGAAGCAGCCAGAUGAUCAACGACGCCCUUUUUCCUUUUUAUACUAAAGUAAGAAAUAAGAAUGUUAGCCCAAGCUGCACUAUUUUGCAGACCCCCACCAUUUUACAAACUGGUCAGAGUGGAAAAUUCCACCAGGGCCUGAGCUGUGAGAAACAUCCUGUCAGAGAGGUCCCAGGCCUAACCCCUGACUGCACUAAAUUCCUUCAUUAUCAGCAUCCAAACACACCGCCCCCACCCCAUUUUCACAACAAUCCCAGACCUCUCCUGCCCGGACCUAUAACUGGUCCAGCCUGUAAGUGGGAAGGGGGCUCUGGCACUAGCUGGUACCCUCUCUCCGCAGGUCUUUCUCCCAAUAAAUCUGUGUUGCCAUUGA